CCUACGGGAGGCAGCAGUGGGGAAUAUUGGGCAAUGGGCGCAAGCCUGACCCAGCAACGCCGCGUGAAGGAAGAAGGCUUUCGGGUUGUAAACUUCUUUUGUCAGGGACGAAGCAAGUGACGGUACCUGACGAAUAAGCCACGGCUAACUACGUGCCAGCAGCCGCGGUAAUACGUAGGUGGCAAGCGUUAUCCGGCGUUACUGGGUGUAAAGGGCGAGUAGGCGGGACUGCAAGGCAGAUGUGAAAGCCACGGGCGCAACCUGUGGCCUGCAUUUGAAACUGUAGUUCUUGAGUACUGGAGAGGCAGACGGAAUUCCUAGUGUAGCGGUGAAAUGCGUAGAUAUUAGGAGGAACACCAGUGGCGAAGGCGGUCUGCUGGACAGCAACUGACGCUGAGGCGCGAAAGCGUGGGGAGCAAACAGGAUUAGAUACCCUGGUAGUC
This 443-nucleotide ribosomal RNA is filed under the name uncultured bacterium. RNAcentral describes it as "partial 16S ribosomal RNA". It matches the Rfam family "Bacterial small subunit ribosomal RNA", at positions 338 to 795 of the family's 1533-position model. The record is from RNAcentral.